AACGCACAUUGCGCCCUCUGGUAUUCCGGGGGGUAUGCCUGUUCGAGCGUCAUUACAACCCUCAAGCUCUGCUUGGUAUUGGGCUUCACCAUCUGGUGGGCCUUAAAAUCAGUGGCGGUGCCAACUUGGCUUCAAGUGUAGUAAUUUUUCUCACUUCGGAGUCUUUUGGUCACUUGCCAAUAACCCCUAAUUUUUUUUAAGGUUGACCUCGGAUCAGGUAGGGAUACCCGCUGAACUUAA
Molecule: unclassified non-coding RNA, 240 nt
Filed under: uncultured fungus
Lineage: Eukaryota; Fungi
Description: partial contains 5.8S ribosomal RNA, internal transcribed spacer 2, and large subunit ribosomal RNA
Source: RNAcentral